CCGACUCCAUGAAGCUGGAUUCGCUAGUAAUCGCGCAUCAGCCGCGGCGCGGUGAAUACGUUCCCGGGCCUUGUACACACCGCCCGUCAAGCCAUGGAAGCCGGGAGUGCCUGAAGUGCGUGAGCGCAAGCAGCGCCCUAAGGUAAAACCGGUGACUGGGGCUAAGUCGUAACAAGGUACC
RNAcentral lists this ribosomal RNA (181 nucleotides) under uncultured bacterium. Its description in RNAcentral is "partial 16S ribosomal RNA". It matches the Rfam family "Bacterial small subunit ribosomal RNA", at positions 1312 to 1500 of the family's 1533-position model. The record is from RNAcentral.